Molecule: ribosomal RNA, 896 nt
Filed under: uncultured bacterium
Lineage: Bacteria
Description: bacterial SSU rRNA
Rfam family: Bacterial small subunit ribosomal RNA
Source: RNAcentral
GUUUGAUCCUUGCUCAGGAUGAACGCUAGCGGCAGGCUUAACACAUGCAAGUCGAGGGGUAUAGUAGCAAUACUAGAGACCGGCGCACGGGUGCGUAACGCGUAUGCAAUCUACCUUUUGCAGGGGAAUAGCCCAGAGAAAUUUGGAUUAAUGCCCCAUAGUAUAAUGUCUUGGCAUCGAGAUAUUAUUAAAGUCACAACGGCAAAAGAUGAGCAUGCGUCCCAUUAGCUAGUUGGUAAGGUAACGGCUUACCAAGGCGACGAUGGGUAGGGGUCCUGAGAGGGAGAUCCCCCACACUGGUACUGAGACACGGACCAGACUCCUACGGGAGGCAGCAGUGAGGAAUAUUGGACAAUGGGCGCAAGCCUGAUCCAGCCAUGCCGCGUGCAGGAUGAAGCAUCUAUGGUGUGUAAACUGCUUUUGUACGAGAAGAAACACUGGUUCGUGAACCAGCUUGACGGUACUGUAAGAAUAAGGAUCGGCUAACUCCGUGCCAGCAGCCGCGGUAAUACGGAGGAUCCAAGCGUUAUCCGGAAUCAUUGGGUUUAAAGGGUCCGUAGGCGGUCAGAUAAGUCAGUGGUGAAAGCCCAUCGCUCAACGGUGGAACGGCCAUUGAUACUGUAGGACUUGAAUUAUUAGGAAGUAACUAGAAUAUGUAGUGUAGCGGUGAAAUGCUUAGAGAUUACAUGGAAUACCAAUUGCGAAGGCAGGUUACUACUAAUGGAUUGACGCUGAUGGACGAAAGCGUGGGUAGCGAACAGGAUUAGAUACCCUGGUAGUCCACGCCGUAAACGAUGGAUACUAGCUGUUGGGAGCAAUCUCAGUGGCUAAGCGAAAGUGAUAAGUAUCCCACCUGGGGAGUACGUUUACAAGAAUGAAACUCAAAGGAAUUGACG